RNAcentral lists this transfer RNA (73 nucleotides) under Lachnospiraceae bacterium. Its description in RNAcentral is "tRNA-Thr". It matches the Rfam family "tRNA". Rfam says of the family: Transfer RNA (tRNA) molecules are approximately 80 nucleotides in length. Their secondary structure includes four short double-helical elements and three loops (D, anti-codon, and T loops). Further hydrogen bonds mediate the characteristic L-shaped molecular structure. tRNAs have two regions of fundamental functional importance: the anti-codon, which is responsible for specific mRNA codon recognition, and the 3' end, to which the tRNAs corresponding amino acid is attached (by aminoacyl-tRNA synthetases). tRNAs cope with the degeneracy of the genetic code in two manners: having more than one tRNA (with a specific anti-codon) for a particular amino acid; and 'wobble' base-pairing, i.e. permitting non-standard base-pairing at the 3rd anti-codon position. Lineage: Bacteria; Bacillati; Bacillota; Clostridia; Lachnospirales; Lachnospiraceae. The record is from RNAcentral.
GCUGAGGUGGCUCAGUCGGUAGAGCGUCGCCUUGGUAAGGCGGAGGUCACCAGUUCGAUUCUGGUCAUCAGCU